This 999-nucleotide long non-coding RNA is filed under the name Coccomyxa subellipsoidea. RNAcentral's name for it is "long non-coding RNA (CSUB_LNC000115)". The record is from RNAcentral. Lineage: Eukaryota; Viridiplantae; Chlorophyta; Trebouxiophyceae; Coccomyxaceae.
UUACAUUCUGCAGUAACUCACGGUGAUGAUCAGCAGACGUUCAGGUGCUGGUCUAUGAAAACCCAAGGCUAAGCAAAAUGCCUGCCCAGGUCGGGCAGCCCGCUCAGGCACUAGCCAGAUCAGGCUGUCAGAAAAGAACCUGUGACAGAUCUGCAGGGAUUCCUCAGCUCAGCAGUGUCCAUGGGAACAAGCAAGUGCCCUGCCACAAACCUAAGCAGUCGCAGUGUACUCAAAUCGCAGGGCAGUGCGCAACAGGAGCCAGGAACUUUGCAAUAGGUGAAAUAAGUAACCGAGGACUCGUAAAGUAGGACACAAGCUUGUGGCCAGGGGCAGCAGGAUUUGUGUGGAAUCUGCUGUACUGGCUGCCCACUUGAGGUAAUGAAAGCUCUGUGCCAUGGCGUUUGCCUCGGAAAGGUGUUUCGAUAGGACUCAUGGAGCGUGGACACCACUGUCCCGCUUGUGAUACCCUGCUGGCUUUGGGACAGCAAAGAUCAUGGAUGCAAAAGUGCUAUUCAUUGAUCUGAAUAUGUUGCUACUUCAUCGGUAGCUUUGGCCAUGCCCUGGAUUCCCUGAGGCUCACCAGGUUUUUUUUGUUCCUCUUACUGCCCCCAGCUUCUUCUCUAAAGGCCAUCUUGUGGGGAGUGUUGAAGAGGAGCUUCGAUGCCAUUGUAUGUAGCAAUGCAAGUGGUCUUUUUACUUCAAAGCUUGAGAAUUUGGUGACAAAAUGGCGAUUAGGGGGACCUUGGCCUGAGCUGGAAUGGUAACCGAGGCAAUUUCGAGAAGGUUCCUUAGUAUGGCGGGGGGAUGGUUUCAGUGAUUUUGUUGUGAUCACUCAUUAUUGGGGCCUAUUUUAACGCUUACAGGCUGUAUCACGACACUAGGAGGUGUAUGACACCUAUCAAAAGGCCCUGUCAUGGGCAAGUGCUCCUGACAGGACCUCCAAGGCUGGAUUGCCGCGUGCAGGGGUGACAAGUGGACAUUUGCAGAGCAUGUGACAUC